This 1382-nucleotide ribosomal RNA is filed under the name metagenome. RNAcentral's name for it is "bacterial SSU rRNA". It matches the Rfam family "Bacterial small subunit ribosomal RNA". The record is from RNAcentral.
CGGGUGAGUAACACGUGAGUAACCUGCCCUUGACUCUGGGAUAAGCGUUGGGAACGACGUCUAAUACCGGAUACGAGCUUCCACCGCAUGGUGAGUUGCUGGAAAGAAUUUUGGUCAAGGAUGGACUCGCGGCCUAUCAGCUUGUUGGUGAGGUAACGGCUCACCAAGGCGACGACGGGUAGCCGGCCUGAGAGGGUGACCGGCCACACUGGGACUGAGACACGGCCCAGACUCCUACGGGAGGCAGCAGUGGGGAAUAUUGCACGAUGGGCGAAAGCCUGAUGCAGCAACGCCGCGUGAGGGACGACGGCCUUCGGGUUGUAAACCUCUUUUAGCAGGGAAGAAGCGAAAGUGACGGUACCUGCAGAAAAAGCACCGGCUAACUACGUGCCAGCAGCCGCGGUAAUACGUAGGGUGCAAGCGUUGUCCGGAAUUAUUGGGCGUAAAGAGCUCGUAGGCGGUUUGUCGCGUCUGCUGUGAAAUCCCGAGGCUCAACCUCGGGUCUGCAGUGGGUACGGGCAGACUAGAGUGCGGUAGGGGAGAUUGGAAUUCCUGGUGUAGCGGUGGAAUGCGCAGAUAUCAGGAGGAACACCGAUGGCGAAGGCAGAUCUCUGGGCCGCUACUGACGCUGAGGAGCGAAAGGGUGGGGAGCAAACAGGCUUAGAUACCCUGGUAGUCCACCCCGUAAACGUUGGGCGCUAGAUGUGGGGACCAUUCCACGGUUUCCGUGUCGUAGCUAACGCAUUAAGCGCCCCGCCUGGGGAGUACGGCCGCAAGGCUAAAACUCAAAGGAAUUGACGGGGGCCCGCACAAGCGGCGGAGCAUGCGGAUUAAUUCGAUGCAACGCGAAGAACCUUACCAAGGCUUGACAUAUACGAGAACGGGCCAGAAAUGGUCAACUCUUUGGACACUCGUAAACAGGUGGUGCAUGGUUGUCGUCAGCUCGUGUCGUGAGAUGUUGGGUUAAGUCCCGCAACGAGCGCAACCCUCGUUCUAUGUUGCCAGCACGUAAUGGUGGAACUCAUGGGAUACUGCCGGGGUCAACUCGGAGGAAGGCGGGGACGACGUCAAAUCAUCAUGCCCCUUAUGUCUUGGGCUUCACGCAUGCUACAAUGGCCAGUACAAAGGGCUGCAAUACCGUAAGGUGGAGCGAAUCCCAAAAAGCUGGUCCCAGUUCGGAUUGAGGUCUGCAACUCGACCUCAUGAAGUCGGAGUCGCUAGUAAUCGCAGAUCAGCAACGCUGCGGUGAAUACGUUCCCGGGCCUUGUACACACCGCCCGUCAAGUCAUGAAAGUCGGUAACACCCGAAGCCAGUGGCCUAACCGCAAGGAUGGAGCUGUCUAAGGUGGGAUCGGUAAUUAGGACUAAGUCGGAACAAGGUA